RNAcentral lists this unclassified non-coding RNA (329 nucleotides) under soil metagenome. Its description in RNAcentral is "partial contains 5.8S ribosomal RNA, internal transcribed spacer 2, and large subunit ribosomal RNA". The stretch from base 1 to 120 matches the Rfam family "5.8S ribosomal RNA", at positions 35 to 154 of the family's 154-position model. The record is from RNAcentral.
GAUGAAGAACGCAGCGAAAUGCGAUAAGUAAUGUGAAUUGCAGAAUUCAGUGAAUCAUCGAAUCUUUGAACGCACAUUGCGCCCCCUGGUAUUCCGGGGGGCAUGCCUGUCCGAGCGUCAUUACAACCCUCAAGCUCAGCUUGGUGUUGGGCCCCGCCGCCCCGGCGGGCCCUAAAGUCAGUGGCGGUGCCGUCCGGCUCCGAGCGUAGUAAUUCUUCUCGCUCUGGAGGUCCGGUCGUGUGCUCGCCAGCAACCCCCAAUUUUUAUCAGGUUGACCUCGGAUCAGGUAGGGAUACCCGCUGAACUUAAGCAUAUCAAUAAGCGGAGGA